GAGCAAUCUCGUUGAGUAGUUUCGUACACAUCUAUUUGCUGCCAAUAAUCUUAGAUGGCUGAAGUAUUGGGUGAUUGAGAGGUCAUCUUAACGGAGGUCAUGAAUGAUACUUCAAUCUCAACCACGAAGUUCAUCAAGGUUUGUUUUGAGUCUAACAAAAACUUGUAAAUUCGUUUAAAUUUCAACGAUCUUUUUAUACUUGGCUGCAUCCUUGAGCAAUCUCGUUGAGUAGUUUCAUACACAUCUAUUUGCUGCCAAUAAUUACUUAGAUGACUGAGAGGUUAAGAUGAAUGAUACCUUCAAUCCCGAACACCUUUGUUGUAUCUUCCUUAUUUGAGUAGGUCUUUCGCGUGCUAUUGCAGACUUCUUGUGCUGUUUCAUAGAGAAUAAUAUCCUCUUCGACAUCAUUUUUCAUGGAACUUAUAAACUAUGUGGAGUGGAUCAUCAGAUUUUUGUUUAGCUAUUGCACCUGUGAUAUAUUUAUCUUUUUCUCAACUACAAAUGAACAUUAUAAUUGAGUGCAACCAUUGGGGAUAGUUACAGCCAUUCAGUUUGUGUCCAGUAAUGAUAAAUCCACUGGACUCAGGUCCACCAUUAGAGUUGGUAACAGAUAAGGACUAAAUAUUAGAGAUGAUUGACACUAUCGAAAAAUGAGGAAAAAGUUUUUAGUUUUCUAGAAUUGCUUUGAUACUGUGAAGAAUGAAAAUUUUAUAUUUUUCAUUAUCUUUGAUAAUGAUACAAUAAUUAUAUUUAUAAUACAAAGCUAAUUACCAUAUUUGUACAAAAGAAUCUUGCUAGUUAGUAAAAAGAUUUUUCAGAAGAAAUGGCAGACGAAACCAAAGGGAUUCUGUCAACCUUGGUGCCAAAUCUUCUAAUUAGGAAGCUAAUAUUUUUGAUAUAGCUAGAUAGCUGUAGAUACUCAAUUGCCAAUUCCUCCUUUUAUGGAUCUUGUUAUAUCUAAUUGGUUCACUAUGUCUCAGAAUCCUUGACUCUUCAAACAUUUGUAUUUCUCAUGGCAAUUUUAAUUUUGCAAGUUUUAAUUACGAAGAAGACAAGUUGCAGCUUCAAUGUUCUUUCUACUUCAACAUUUCAACCUUUGAGGUCAAGUUUUCAUUAAGUGAAGGAGAAUGAGUCGAAGAGGAAGACACUAUUCCUAUUUCGUUAUAUUAAAAUCCUUAGGUUAUUUAAGAAUUAGUAUUUAUAUGGAAUAAGUUUAUGAUUUCCUAUUUAGUUAGUAUCUUAUUUAGUUAUUUUCUUAUUUUAUAAGAUUCAUAGAUAGAAUUAAAAUUCCUAUUUUCGUUGUAAUGGCUAGCUAACCUAUAAAUAUACCAUAAUUUAAUUAUUAGGUAGAUUAUUUAUAAUUUUCAUUCAAAUAUUAAGAUAUUGUUUUGAUUAUUAAGAUUUGAGAUCUUCUAGUUUGUUUCAUAAUGAAAUCUGUCUAACUUUUGUCUUUAAGCUCUCUUUUUCCUACAUGAUCAUUCUUGCCUGAACUAUGUUGAGCAAAUGAUUAUCAAUAAUGUGAAAUUUAAUUCAAGCCUAUUGGGCAUCUGCUAUGGCAAGGUCAAGCUGAAUCCAGUAUUCUCCUGCCCAAUCUAGUGCAAAGACAGUGGAAAAGUGUGGGGGAACUUGGGCCUAGGGAGCCUGUGUAUGGGCUUAGUUGCAGCACCCGCAGGUGUCUCCCUGUUCUGCUUCGCUGGUGGGUUCAGUGGGAGCACCUGUAGGAAGAGCUUUUCUCACUCCACCCGGAGAGCUUCCCUUU
RNAcentral lists this long non-coding RNA (1759 nucleotides) under Carica papaya (papaya). Its description in RNAcentral is "long non-coding RNA (CPAP_LNC014192)". Lineage: Eukaryota; Viridiplantae; Streptophyta; Magnoliopsida; Brassicales; Caricaceae. The record is from RNAcentral.